Molecule: small RNA, 458 nt
Filed under: Histoplasma capsulatum
Lineage: Eukaryota; Fungi; Ascomycota; Eurotiomycetes; Onygenales; Ajellomycetaceae
Also listed under: 1 other name
Description: hypothetical RNA
Source: RNAcentral
CGGUCAAUAAUGAUGGCAAGACUCAACAGUCUAGACUAGGCUUCUGUUUCAGUGACCUGCCAGGCAUCAGUUAUUAUUAAGUAUGCUGCUAACUUGCCAACACAGAGAGUGCUUUUCUUCAUUGUUCUAACUAUGAUAGUUUUUCUGCCGCUCUUCUGAUAUUUAUUUCCCAUUAGAAAAGCUACCCUCACUCAUCGACUGAUUCUUCUUCCUGGCUUGCUGACAGUGACGAUCAAUCACCCCUCAUGCACUAGUUUGGUAAUCUUGAAAACUUAGAGCUGAAUCUGGCAUAAAGCGACACAUACGCUGUAGUCCAUCCCCCUUCCAUUCCAUUCUCCAUAUUUAUCAUAUUGUCCUGUAUUAUAUUAUUAUUAUUAGCUACUUAAACCAUCUCACAUAAACCCAGGCCGGGCUGUUCGCCCUCCAACGCAUAGCCAAUGCCAUCCACAAAUACUAGU